UUCUUUGUUCCAAUUGUUUCAGCAUAUUUUGUCUCCUCUUCAUUGGCAAGCUGCGUGAACUAGUUUGGGCUCCCAGGGAAUUCUGCUCACUUGUGUUGAGUGUAACUAUUAGUAAGAUUAUAUCUUUUCAUAGGGAGGUUAAGUAUCAUAGCUAAGAUCCAGGGCUUCAAUUUUUUUUAUCCUAAACAAUGAUUUCUCUCUUUGACUAUAUUUCACUGUUGGAGUUCAGUUCAGAACUGAUACUGAACCAUUCAAGCUUCUGUGUUGAGAAUUCCAUCAAACCUGCAAUGGAAGGAGAGCUUCUUGAAUCUAGAAAUGUGACUUCAUAACAUCCAUAUACAUCAACAUAAUCAUCAAUGUUGCUGCUCAAGAUUCCAUGGAUUUGCUAAACUUCUGCGAUACAACCGAUGACAUUUUAUAAGCUUGAUUACAUGUUAGAGUCUUUGUUGUUAAAUUACACAUUGCAGUGUAAGAUCAAGUUUUGAUCUAGUAGUACAACUCUAUGUUUUGAUGAUUACAAGUUAACCUUUUGAUAUGAACAAUUGUGGUACUCUAACGUGUUUUUCUGAGUGUGCUAUUUGUAGGUUCUGACCUCAACUCAAUCUCACACAAAUCAGAAGCACUGUGUAUAAAGAGUAACCCAAGCAACGCUUUCGCAUUCACCAUGUUCAGUAUGAACAGUGGAAAAGCUUCAGAAGUUCUGAAGCUAUACAAACUCUGAUGUGGACUCAGUCACUAGAAGCUCUGAAGAUCCAGAAGUUCUGAUAACCAAGAAACACUGAAGGUUCAGAUGUUCUGAUGGUGUAGAAGACUCUGAAGAUCCAGAAGCUGAAUAGUGGAAACUCUGAUGUCCAGAAGCAAGAAACUCUGAAGGCCAUGUUCUUCCCUCUGAGUUCAGAAUCAGAAGAUACAAUGGUCAGAGGAUCUGUUGUAAGAUCAAGUUUUGAUCUAGUAGUACAACUCUAUGUUUUGAUGAUUACAAGUUAACCUUUUGAUAUGAACAAUUGUGGUACUCUAACGUGUUUUUCUGAGUGUGCUAUUUACAGGCUCUGACCUCAACUCAAUCUCACACAAAUCAGAAGCACUGUGUAUAAAGAGUGACCCAAGCAACGCUUUCGCAUUCACCAUGUUCAGUAUGAACAGUGGAAAAGCUUCAGAAGUUCUGAAGCUAUACAAACUCUGAUGUGGACUCAGUCGCUAGAAGCUCUGAAGAUCCAGAAGUUCUGAUAACCAAGAAACACUGAAGGUUCAGAUGUUCUGAUGGUGUAGAAGACUCUGAAGAUCCAGAAGCUGAAUAGUGGAAACUCUGAAGUCCAGAAGCAAGAAACUCUGAAGGCCAUGUUCUUCCCUCUGAGUUCAGAAUCAGAAGAUACAAUGGUCAGAGGAUCUGUGCUUUCCCUCUGACUCUGAUCAACCGGCUUCACAAGUUCCAA
Lotus japonicus is the source of this 1433-nucleotide long non-coding RNA. RefSeq lists it as uncharacterized. The record is from RefSeq and is a predicted model, not a curated record. Lineage: Eukaryota; Viridiplantae; Streptophyta; Magnoliopsida; Fabales; Fabaceae. The transcript is spliced from 3 exons.